UACGUAGGGUCCGAGCGUUAAUCGGAAUUACUGGGCGUAAAGCGUGCGCAGGCGGUUCGCAAAGACAGGUGUGAAAUCCCCGGGCUUAACCUGGGAACUGCGUGUGAUACUGGAUGGCUUGAAUUCGGGAGAGGGAUGCAGAAUUCCAGGUGUAGCGGUGAAAUGCGUAGAUAUCUGGAGGAAUACCGGUGGCGAAGGCGGCAUCCUGGACCGACAUUGACGCUGAACGGCGAAAGCUAGGGGAGCAAACGGG
This 253-nucleotide ribosomal RNA is filed under the name uncultured bacterium. Its description in RNAcentral is "partial 16S ribosomal RNA". It matches the Rfam family "Bacterial small subunit ribosomal RNA", at positions 524 to 776 of the family's 1533-position model. The record is from RNAcentral.